AUACGUAGGUGACAAGCGUUAUCCGGAUUUACUGGGCGUAAAGGGCGUGUAGGCGGUCUUGCAAGUCAGAAGUGAAAUUCCUGAGCUCAACUCGGGCGCUGCUUCUGAAACUGCAGGACUUGAGUGCUGGAGGGGAUAGCGGAAUUCCUAGUGGAGCGGUAAAAUGCGCAGAUAUUAGGAAGAACACCGGUGGCGAAGGCGGCUUGCUGGGCUGUUACUGACGCUGAGACACGAAAGCGUGGGGAGCAAAUAGGAUUAGAUACCCUAGUAGUCCACGCCGUAAACGAUGAGUACUAAGUGUCGGGUAACCGGUGCUGAAGUUAACACAUUAAGUACUCCGCCUGAGUAGUACGGUCGCAAGGCUGAAACUCAAAUGAAUUGACGGGG
RNAcentral lists this ribosomal RNA (387 nucleotides) under uncultured bacterium. RNAcentral describes it as "partial 16S ribosomal RNA". It matches the Rfam family "Bacterial small subunit ribosomal RNA", at positions 523 to 918 of the family's 1533-position model. The record is from RNAcentral.